Phycodurus eques (leafy seadragon) is the source of this 702-nucleotide long non-coding RNA. RefSeq lists it as uncharacterized. The transcript is spliced from 3 exons. The record is from RefSeq and is a predicted model, not a curated record. NCBI's taxonomy places the organism in Eukaryota, Metazoa, Chordata, Actinopteri, Syngnathiformes, Syngnathidae.
GACCGUGGCACCCAGAGACAGAGCGCGCUCCACUUUCUAUAACUUUACUACUGAACGUGUUUGUCUAUUGCUAGGGAUGCGUCAGUACAUCCGCCAUAUUGAAUGUGUCAGUUUUACUUGCCUUUUAAAUGUUGAAUGCAAAAAAAAAAAAAACAGAGCAUGCUGAUCUCUCUUCCUUCUCUCACGGGAUCCGGAAGCCGAGUGGCCCUGCUUUCCAGACUGGAACGUUAGCCAUCCAAAGCUCUCCUUCUUCAUGCUGAUAUGUGUCUCCUCAUUGGAGCCCCCAUGCUGGGACGUCCGCUCGGUCUGCCCGCCUGCAAAUUCGCCUGACCUGGGGAACAGGGGGGCCCUGCACAAUGUUCCCCCCAGUCUACCCUGGUCGUGGUGGUCUCUGUGGUGGCAUCCUCUGUGGCUACGGGCUGUAGCACCUAUCAGCGUGGAUGGCUCCUGCAGGUUGUUUUUCAACACCUGGAUCCUCAGUGCUUUGUCAUGUCUCUACACUAUAAGUCAAUAUGUGCUGUGUGUGUGUACGUGCGGGUGUGCGUGUGUUCGUAUGGAUGCGUUCGCGUUUGUAUGUGGGGAUGGGCGAUGUCGGUUUUUGUAUGUCUUGCUAUUUUAAUUGUCUGCUUUUAUCGUUGUAAAGCACUUUGUGUUGAAUUUCUAAUGUAUGAAAAGUGCAAUAUAAAUAAAACCGUUUUUAUG